AUUUGGUCGUGAACAGUUUUAAGGACUAAUCGAUAAAUCCUCUCUUUAUCGAACUUAAAUAGUCCUAAGGACUUCAUCAUAACAACGGAGUUCAUUAGAAAAUGAAAGCUUAUGAUGAAAAUGCCAAAUAUAUUUUAUUUAUUAAUAAAUCAAUUACAAUACUUGGUUGCUCAACCGUCAACAGCUUGACGAUUGACUUUUUGGGACACAUUU
RNAcentral lists this long non-coding RNA (213 nucleotides) under Elaeis guineensis (African oil palm). RNAcentral's name for it is "long non-coding RNA (EGUI_LNC064476)". The record is from RNAcentral. Lineage: Eukaryota; Viridiplantae; Streptophyta; Magnoliopsida; Arecales; Arecaceae.